Non-coding RNA from Ictidomys tridecemlineatus (thirteen-lined ground squirrel), 2940 nucleotides. Lineage: Eukaryota; Metazoa; Chordata; Mammalia; Rodentia; Sciuridae. The record is from RefSeq and is a predicted model, not a curated record.
AAAAAAGAGAAAAGGACUGGGGAUGUGACAGGUGGAACCACCUGGAGCUGAGCAAUGCUCCCCGCUGUCCUCUCCCAUGGCCACAGCCAGCCCUGCCACCUGCUGGCCAUUCAAGCCGAGCUCUGCCGCUGCUCAGCCACUAGGGUGCAGCUUCGCUUCUUUGCUUUUGGAAGAUCAGCCUCCUAAUUAAAGGACUCCUGCCAUCAUGCUCAACACUCCCAGGGGUUCCAGGCAGGAGUGCAGGACAGUCACUGCGCUCCAGCAGGGGUGGGGCAGGGGCAGUGAGGUGGCCCGGACCGGGCCCUGGCUCCCAUCCCCCUUGAUCUUGAGGUUUGAGUGACCUCCCCCCGCCCUGGCCCUCAUUUGCACGUCCAUACAGUGACCACUGUCAUUGGUGUGUUCCCUGAUCCAGAAUGAGGCACAGCCGGGUCUAGAGGCUGGCAAAGGGCAGGUGGGACCUGAACAUGCUCCUGGCCCGCCAAGGGCAGCUCUGUCUUCCCAGUCCCCUGCAUCCUUGCCAGUCCUGGACACUGCAUCACCUGCCCACAAGAAGGGUCUCUCCAGCCACUGUCCCUGGGUGUGGGGCCCCACAGAGAGACAAGGAGCUGGGGUGCUGGAGGGAGAGUCUUAGAAGAGGGCUGGCCUCCUCACCUCUGGGCCUUCCUGGAGGCUCUCCCUCACUCAUCUCUGGGGUUUUGGCUUUGUGCCUGGUCAGCGGGGUGGAGAGGCGAGGUCAGAGAACUGAGAGCCGGCCAACCAGGCUCAGUGGCACAUGCCUACAAAUCCCCGCACGUUGGGAGGCUGAGACAGGAGGAUCUCCAGGUGGGGGCCAGCCUCAACAACUUAGUGAGACCCCGUCUCAAAACAAAAUGAAAAGGAUUGAGAUGCAGCUCAGUGGUAGAGUGCUUGUCUACACGUGCCAGCCCUUGGAAUCCGCCUGGGGGAAGACAAUAGAAAAGAGCUGGAAGCCGAACACAGGUCCCAGACCUGACUUCUCACAGGUCAGGCUGUUCUCAGGCCCCGCACCAGCAGCGGUAGGAAAAAAAAGCCUAGCACAGGCAGGAGGGGGCCUGAGCGGCCACUGAGUGUCGAGAGCCCAGCACCGGGCCAUGGCGGGUGGGGGCAUCUGGCAGAGUCUCAGCUCCAGGGUGAAGGUCAGGAGAGGAGCUGAUCCCGGGGUCCUGUUCCUGAGCUCAGGGGCUGAUCGUGCAGAAGCGUGUGUCCAGGUGCAGCAGAACCCUGGUGACACCCACCUGCUCUGGGCCUUGCGCUUCCAGCCUGAGGGAUGGAAGUGAGUCACACCGACCUCAAGAGCCAGGCUGCCUAGUGACAGUGCCCUGGGGACUCGCGUUUGAGGACCUGAGUCAUGCCCUCCUUCUGCAGGGAGGUUCUGCUAAGGCCCCCUGACCCCCGCCCGCCCUUGACCUCACCGCUUUUGCGAUUCCUGUGUGUUCUGACCACGACCCUCCUCCCUGGCUUCUGACUCAGCCGCCCUGACCGGGGGAUCCUGUCUGCGUCUGGGUCAAGAACGGCCAGCCAGUUCCCCCCAGUCCCCAUGCCCACUAACUAAUCACGGCUGUCUGCAGCUUUGGGUUGACUCAGUGGGGAAGUGAUGCAAUUGAUUGGUCCUGUCUGCCCAGGCCCAGGGAAGGGGAGCUGGGCUGGGUCUGUAGGCCUGACGAUGGGCUGUCUGCUGGGAUCUGACCUCACUGCCACCUCUCAGCCACGGCUGCCUGCUUCCCUCCCACUCAGGCCAGGGCUGUGUGGGGAAGUGGCCGGCCCUGGGAGCCAACCCUAGAAGCCGGGCUGGGACCUGGCUUGCCCUUGGACUAGGCAGCUGCAGUGCUUUGGAGGUGAUAUCAGGGGAGAAGGGGGCCUUGCUCAGGGCCAGCGAGGCUCCUGACAUGCCUGACAGAAGAGAAGAGCAGCGUGGGCCCGUCCAGGACACAGGGUCCCAUUCCAGGGAGGACGUGAGUGACCUGAGAGAGGCCUUUGGGGUAAGGCAAGGAUCAGGCGCUCAAGGGAGGACACAGGCCACCUGCGAGGGAGGGACAGCGCCGCAGGCUGGGGGCUCCUGUCCUGGCUGACAGUUCUGGGCUGGCGUGGGGAGGAGCCAGGGCCCAGCUCCUCAGUCUCUCUCCAUGUCCCUGCGCUGGGCGCUGUCCUGACUUACAGGCUGGACCAGGGCGGGUCGUGCAGGGCCUUCUGCACCCCGGUGGCUCGUGAGCGGAUCCUCUAAGACUUGGUCUCUAUCUUUAUCCUAAAUCCCGAUUGCACCCGCCCCCCAACUUUGCUCCCUUGAUCUUAAAGAGUUGGUGGGGUGAGGGUCCCCCUUCCACGGAGGCUUCAGGCUGACCAGGGGCAGUGACCCUGCCUUGGGAGGGACCCAGGGUCACAUCCUGUCCGGCUGUUCAUGAAAUGGGAGCCAGGUGGGCGUCAGCUGCGGUCACCCCGUGCGAGGGGACACUAGAACUCACCGUGGAUGGUGCCGGACUUCCCUCCAUCUCCCUGCCCGCCUUCCCAGCUUCCAGUGACCCCAGUUCUCCAUUUACACCGACUUCUCCUGGAGCAUCCAGGACGGAGGAUUCGCAUCCUGGCAAAGCGCUACAGACAGAAGCUUGCUCAGCUCCUGGCAGCCAGCCCAGGAGCAGAGACAGAGGAAGGACCAGAGGCCACGUCCUCAGGGCAUGCCCAGCAUGACCUGCCGCCUCCCCUCUGGCCCACGGAGGUUCAGCAAGCUUCCACCUUCCUGUACCACCAGGCUGCGAACCCGGCAACGGACCAACCUCCUGGUGAGGCUGGAGCCCUCCUCAUCCAGGGACCUUCCAAAGCCCCACCUCUGAACGCUGCUGCUCUGGGGACCAAGCCACAACAACCCGGGAGACCCAUUUGGGAUUUUCAUUUCCAGAAACGUCAUAUAAUAAAUUUGUGUUAUUUUAA